RNAcentral lists this ribosomal RNA (90 nucleotides) under Vibrio parahaemolyticus. The record is from RNAcentral. Lineage: Bacteria; Pseudomonadati; Pseudomonadota; Gammaproteobacteria; Vibrionales; Vibrionaceae. RNAcentral also lists the same sequence under 1 other name.
ACCUGACUCCAUUCCGAACUCAGAAGUGAAACGAAAUAGCGCCGAUGGUAGUGUGGGGUUUCCCCAUGUGAGAGUAGGACAUCGCCAGGC